Cyprinus carpio (common carp) is the source of this 2419-nucleotide long non-coding RNA. NCBI's taxonomy places the organism in Eukaryota, Metazoa, Chordata, Actinopteri, Cypriniformes, Cyprinidae. The record is from Ensembl.
UUUAUUAAUACAAAAGGACAAACUAUAAUAAACAUUAAAAUAAUACUAAGGACGGCAUUACGUAUAAUUGCAUAAAGACGCAAAUAUUAGGCUAUUUAACCGUUUCAUUGAAAAAUACUGUUUAAAAGAGUUCUUUCCAUGGAAAUUAGUAUAUAGGACUUCCAUCCAUUCAUGUAGUCUUUGCAUGCAACAAAUGUAGCAAAACCUGUUGCGUAGGCCUAUUUAAAUCUAGCAGGUGGCCUUGUUUGAGACUAAUGAACGUCAGGUGCUUCUUCUGAUAGACGUGACCACGCCUCCACCGCGAGUUUGCGUCUGUUGUCAAGAAGCGCGUCGAUGGUUACCGACAUGGCGUAACUGUUUCAGUUGUAGCGAAUGACGAUAAACUCUUACCUGUGCCUGCUUUAAUUUAAAACAAUGUCAAGAUAGCAUUCACUCAGUUUUGAUCUAGAUUCAUUUCGUAUCAAGCUACAGUAAGUUAAAGUCAUAGGUAGUAAGUGUUGUGCGCUGUCUGUAGCCUUGUAGUUCCUUGACGUUGUAUCACAUUAGGAACAUUAGAUCAGGUGUGCAUGAAGAGAAUGAAGAUGAAAGAGAAGUGCUGGUACAAGAACAGAGUUACUGUCGAACUCAGGCUCGCAAGCUUUCCUUGGAAACAAAUCGCAGACGAAAGGCUCUAGAAGAGAGAAGGAAACAGUGGGAUGUUCAAGAGCAGAGACUGAGGGAGAAUAUUCUACAGGGUGCAGGGUGCCACUGAGAACUUCCAAAGAGCUCAUCUCCCUCGUUCCCAGAGAAAAAGACCAGCCUUUAAGAGAAGAACACUCAAUCUUGAUGAAGCACCUCAUCAUAUUCAGGGCAGUCCUCACUUAUAUAUCCAACAAUCGCCAUUUUUGGCCAGUGCCUCCACCAUUAGCAGGAGCUGCACUCCCACCCCAAAGCCUUCAGGGGGCCCCCAUCACCUACGUGCUUUAUCUGCAGCUGAGGCCUACGCCAAACUCCUGCAGGAGAAGAGCCUGAGUAACUUCAAGAACAACCAGCUGCACUUCCUUAGUGAGCAACAGGAGACCCAGAAAAAAAGAGCAGUCCGAUCCACAGGUGACCCUCAAAGUUUUCUUGCUCACAAUGGCCCGUUGUCUUCUUCGCCUCAAGUCUGUGCCAGUCUGUCCCAUGUCACCAUCAAUGGUGAUAGUCUGAACAGUGGUGUCAAUGGAGCCUCACAAAUGGGUGGCUUUUUCUUGUCUUCCUCUAACGUGAGAAAUCCAAUAAGGAGACAAGCUAUGGUGAAGAACCGAGUUUCAUUGGAAAACAGCAGGAACCAACCUGCAGAAACAACAUCGAGAAAGCCCAAUUUUCCUUAUCAGGUCACUGUGCCAAAACCUCAACUCCCAAAUAAAAAUAGUCAUGCAGAUGACUGUGAAGGCCCAGAGGGGUCAGACGGUGCCCAUGAAGUAGUGGACAGUGCACAGACGCAUAAGUUCUGCAACGGUCCGAUUGCUCCAUUGAGCCAGAGAAUACAGUCGCUCGGUGUCAGCGCUUUGUAAUUAGAAGAUCCUGCAGUCACUCAAGAGACUUAAUCAAUGCCUGCAAUGUCAGUGUCAUUUUAAAAUCAUGUACAUUUAAUCCACACAGUCAAAACUUACGUUCAUCACAGAUUUGAGGUGAGGGCAGUAGCUUUUAAUUUGGCCCUAUGUAUGCGUUUCUUGUUUUAAUGUUUUCAAAAUAUCAACAGCUGUUCCUGAUCACUUCCACUUGAUUUAACAGAUGUGCAAGAUGCAGCUGGUGGCAACCCAGCAGUAAAGGGUAUCUUUGCUUUGGGUCCUGCAUUUGUGAGUAUUGCCUGUGUAUUCAGAGGAAGCGAUCUGUUCCCCUGCACUAAUGUGACCUGCUCACAGCCCUGUCCCAUCUUUCUGUCUUCUCAUCCUUGAAGAACCAGACCGGUGAGACUGUAGGUGUCACCGUGCGUAGGCGGCGAGCCUCUGCUGAUAAUCGCACCCGAACUCAACAGCGUUACUGACUACACCUCCCAUGAUCCACCACUCCCUCGAACACCUUCUCUCAGCUGCACUUUGCAAACCUUCAAACCUUAUGAUUAUAUGCUGUACUGUAUAAUGCAGAGACAUACUUAAAUACUUGAGUGGUAUUGAGAGGUUUAACUGUUUUUUUAAAGGAAUAGUUGACCCAAAAAUGAAAAUCAAGAUGUAAAUGGAUUUGUUUCUUCACAGAAGAACGUAUUGAGAAAUUUAGCAUUGCGUCACUUGUUCACCGAUGGAUCCUCUGCAGUUUUUAACUUCAGUUGUGUCCUCUACUUAUAAUAUUGCUUUCUCCAGUGGAAAGAUUGUCUCUUCUGAAUCAGGAGAGAAAUAUGCACAGAAGAAAAAAAAAUAAUAAUAAUAAACAGUCCAAAACUGAUAUGUACUGUAAGAUU